This 254-nucleotide ribosomal RNA is filed under the name uncultured bacterium. RNAcentral's name for it is "partial 16S ribosomal RNA". It matches the Rfam family "Bacterial small subunit ribosomal RNA", at positions 524 to 777 of the family's 1533-position model. The record is from RNAcentral.
UACGUAGGUGGCAAGCGUUGUCCGGAAUUACUGGGUGUAAAGCGCGUGUAGGCGGCAGGCCAAGUCUGCGGUGAAAGCGCCCGGCUCAACUGGGCGAGGUCCGUGGAAACUGGUCAGCUGGAGGACGGUAGAGGCGAGUGGAAUUUCCGGUGUAGCGGUGAAAUGCGUAGAUAUCGGAAGGAACACCAGUGGCGAAAGCGGCUUCCUGGUCCAGCACCGACGUUCAGGCACGAAAGCGUGGGGAGCAAACAGGG